Molecule: long non-coding RNA, 517 nt
Organism: Solanum stenotomum
Lineage: Eukaryota; Viridiplantae; Streptophyta; Magnoliopsida; Solanales; Solanaceae
Exons: 2
Source: RefSeq, a predicted model, not a curated record
CUUGAUUCGUCUAUUAGCAUCGAUCAAUUUUGCAUCAAUGAUGUUAUCAGCAGCAGUACCGAACUUUCGUGACAUCAUGCUAUACCCUCCACCACUAAAGUGUCCACCAACACCAACUGUUGGGCAAACCCCAGCAACUACGGCCAAAUUUUUACUUUUUUGAGCGAUUCUAUAGUAAACUUCCCCUAGGGUCGCGCCAGCUUGAAUCCAAGCAGUCUUUUUUUGGGUAUCAAUGGAUAUUGAUCUUAGGUUUCUAAGAUCAAUUACGACAAAGGGGAUUUUCGAAAUGUAUGAAAGUCCCUCAUAGUCAUGUCCACCGCUUCGAAUUCUAAUUUGUAGCCCAUGUUUCUUGGAACAAUGUAUAGCUGCCUGGAUUUGAGAUUCAUCAUUAGGAGUGAAAAUAAUUGAUGGUUUGAAGUUGGAGGUUAUCCUUAGGUUACGAUCUGAAAAGGAGUUAUAAAUGGUGGAAUAUGAUGAGUUUUUAGGAGUGUGGAUGACUUGUGAUAUUGUGUUUGAG